AGUGAACGCUGGCGGUAGGCCUAACACAUGCAAGUCGAACGGCAGCACAGUAAGAGCUUGCUCUUACGGGUGGCGAGUGGCGGACGGGUGAGGAAUACAUCGGAAUCUACUUUUUCGUGGGGGAUAACGUAGGGAAACUUACGCUAAUACCGCAUACGACCUACGGGUGAAAGCAGGGGAUCUUCGGACCUUGCGCGAUUGAAUGAGCCGAUGUCGGAUUAGCUAGUUGGCGGGGUAAAGGCCCACCAAGGCGACGAUCCGUAGCUGGUCUGAGAGGAUGAUCAGCCACACUGUAACUUAGACACGGUCCAGACUCCUACGGGAGGCAGCAGUGGGGAAUAUUGGACAAUGGGCGCAAGCCUGAUCCAGCCAUACCGCGUGGGUGAAGAAGGCCUUCGGGUUGUAAAGCCCUUUUGUUGGGAAAGAAAAGCAGCAGGUUAAUACCCCGCUGUUCUGACGGUACCCAAAGAAUAAGCACCGGCUAACUUCGUG
Molecule: ribosomal RNA, 492 nt
Filed under: uncultured bacterium
Lineage: Bacteria
Description: partial 16S ribosomal RNA
Rfam family: Bacterial small subunit ribosomal RNA
Source: RNAcentral